GUUUUAGCAUUUUCUUUCUCAAGCAUAACAAAAAUAUCAAAAAGACAGAGUAAAGAUAAUCUUCAUCUCCCUUUGCUUCUUUGUUAUUUUCUUUGUUGUUGAUCCUUGUUAGUGUUAGGUUUAUUUUCUGUUUUCAUCAUUAAAUUGGGUCACCUAGAUUUAGCCGAACGUAGUCGUCGUCGCCUAGUCCCGUUGGAGAACACGACAUACGUAGUUUGGGGCAUAAAAAUCCCGCUAUAUUACAUUAGAUUAUUUUGGCGUCGUUGCUGGGGACUAGCGUCGAGCGAUUGUGUUAGGUUAUAGGCUAGAUUUACUUUAGUUCCUUGUUCAAUUCGUCGUGUAUUUCAUCUUCAGUGUUUUUCCUCUACUUUCCCCCAUUGUUGCUUCGGCUUAUUAGGAUACUAACCUUCUGACUAGUGUUUACUGUUUAUGAGUGUGUGUAGGGAAUCAUAAAUCAUUGCUGGUUGUUCUAUAGUUACACUUGGUUAAGAUAUGGCAUUGCUUUGUGAUCUUUGGAUGCAAAGUAGUCAAUGUUAUAUCACAGGACCGGUUUCGCCAACUAUUGAGGCAGAGAAUUUUGACAUGAAGCCUGGUCUUAUUGCUUUGGUUAAACAACAACAGUUUGGAGGACUGCCCACUGAGGAUCCCUAUGAGCACUUAUACCGAGUCAUGGAGUAUUAAGGUACAGUCAAGUACCAUGGAGUUCCUCAAGAUGGUAUCAAGUGCAAGCUGUUCUCAUUCUCUCUCCGGGAUGAUGCUCGUGCUUGGUAUCGAUCCUUGCCAUCAAGAUCAUUCAGUUGGAACGAGAUAUCACAAGCUUUCUUGGAUAAAUAUUUCCCAUUACACAAGCAGUCCGCAAUUCGAGAUGAGAUCCUCAGCUUCGUUCAGCGUGAAGGCGAGAGCUUGUAUGAUGCUUGGGAGAGAUACAAGGCUUUAUUCAGGAGAUGUCCUAACCACGGGCUCGAGAGAUGGUUAGAGCUGAAGAUAUUCUAUAGAGGAUUGACUUGGGACACUCGAGCUUACGUCGAUAUGGCAGCGGGCGGAGCUAUUACAAACAAGACACUUGAUGAUGCUUUUCUGCUGAUUGAGAGCAUAGCUUUCCACCAACUUCAGUGGUACAAUGAUAAGCCCACCUCUGAUUCAUUGGUUUGCUUGCAACAAAUCACUACACCUCAGCCGCCAAUUCUUACACAAAAUCCUGAACCUCUAUCUCAGUGUCACAAGAUUGAGCUUGCAUGGAUUAUCUUUGACGAUGAUGACACCAUUCUAGUUGACACACGCGCUACAGAUCACAUGGAUACUAGUGUUGGAGAUUCAGUUUUGCAUUGUGAUGAUUCUUCCAUGGAUGAGCCGGAGCUGCAGUUAGUUGCUUUUGAUAUUGAGGAGUCACCUUUAGUUCAUAUUGAGCAUGUGCUGGUAGAGCCAGAUAUGGAGAAGUUCUCCUUUGAUGAUGUCAGCUGCAUUGAUUCCUCAACACUUGAGCCUGAGAUGGAGAGCUUCAUGGUUGAUUAUGAUGAGGUGGAUUCAGAUGUCAAGGAGCCAAGCUCUACUAUUUCACUUGUUGACAUGAGUCCAGUGGAAAUUUCUACAAGCACACCUCACUUGGUAUCUUCAAUUGAGGUAGUCCUGAAGGUUCUUCCCAAGUAUCUCAGGUAUGAUAUCAGCUUUCUCGACAAGAUAUGCCAUAUCAUGGAUACUGCCUAUGCACCAUGUGACUUGUUGUUGAUACAUGUUCCUGACUUGCUCAAUAGAUAUACUUAUAUGAUAGGGUACUCUAUCGAUGACUUAGAGGGCAUUCUCUCUGUCACUUGUAUUGGCUUGGUUGUUGAGUGUUCCUUCAGGUUGAUGCUUGUGUACCAUUUACUGCGAGUUGACCGAGUUCGAGAUGACAUUCCCUGGGAUCCUGGUGGAUUCACGACAUGGUGAUGAGGAGAAGCAAUGGGGCACACACGAAGAAGAGUGAAGCUGGAGCAUCCAUAAGGAAGGAAAGGAGAAGAGCUGCAGUUGGUGAGGUGAUCAAGCGAGUGCUACUUCAUUAAGCCCGGUGAGCUGUUUCAUGACCCAUUCUGAAUAUCAUAAAUACAUGCUAAAUUCAAUUGCUAGUUGGGUUGCUUGAGCCAGUUAUUACUUGUUGUCAAGCUGAAUCUCACCUUUGGCAUUGUGCUUGAUGUGAAUUUGUGAACUUGAUUUUUGAAUGCCUUGUAAACUAGUGAUCUACACCAUGCAUGCUUUGCUAAAAUUCAUGAGAACUACUAGUUUUGAGUGCUCAAAUCCCUAGUACACUAGAAAACUUCGUCAUUUUGUGCAUUUACUACGAUACACCUAGAUCACCACGUUUAGAUGUUGAAUUUGUGCCAAGUGUCUUCCCAUUGAGAGCAAUCACCUAACCACUAUGGAUUAGCAUGCUAUGUUCCCUGGAUCGGUAGCAUGUGAACCAGACAUGGAGAAGUGAUGAUUCCUGUUUUUGUUCUUAUGCGUUGUUCAUUUAAGAUAAGUAAUAAUGAAUAAAUAAGUCUGGCUACCUACAGUAGCAUGUCAUGUUCCCGGGAUCGGUGGCAUGUGAAAUCGGGUUAGCUUGGGCAGUAAUUAAUAAUAAUAGAAAUGUAAUUGUCGAACCAGGUGUAUACCAUGUUCUCGGGAUCGGUGGUAUGUUCCUUUGGGGAGACAAACUAAAAAAACUAAUAAUUGGUCAAGCCAGGUGUAUACCAUGUUCUCGGGAUCGGUGGUAUGUUCCUUUAGUGAGAUCAAUAAAAUAUUACCAUUACUUCCUUCAAAUUCAAUAAGUGCUUCUACCAUAAUGUUAUGUUCCGGGUAAUAAGUUUUUUUUUGGGAUCAUGCUCUCUUUAGGAACCCUUUGGCACAAUCAGCAUUUGAACUUGCUAAUCUUCGUUUAUCAUUGCAAAAGUUUAAAAUGGUCGAGUUUACUAGUGUCCUAUUGAUAUGUAGCACUCUUAACCAUUAAUUUUCACUAGCCAAGUCCAAAGCAUGCACUGUUUAGAGAUCUACUUCACUUGACAUUCUCUAGUCAGUUCACUGUUCAUGUUCUUGCUUUUGUCAUAUGCCUUUGCUUGAGGACAAGCAAAGAUUUAAGUGUGGGGGAACUUGAUAAGCACAUUUCAUAUACAUAAUUUUGGCACAUAUAUACACCAUUUGUUGAUAUAUGUUCAUCCAUUCUUACUAUGAACUCUGAUAUAUUUGGAUGAAAAUCAUAUAAAAGACCAUUUACUCGUCAUUUGUUUCUUUUGCAGAAAAGUGCACAAAGGCACUAUAAACUUCCAAGAUCUGGACUAGGUGGCUAAGAAAAUUAGUCAAGUGAAAAGAAGAGAAGGAAGAAUGGACUUGUGUGUGAUGAUAAGAAGUAUCCAGAGGGGCUAGCUAAAGAGGAGAGGGAUCUACUUGAGUCAAAAGAAGAGAAGAGAAGGGCCAAAGUGCAAUAUGGGCAAAUCUGAUCGAGAGGUGAUGGAGCAAGAACUAGCGAGAUGCUAAUUCGCGCGUGUAGAUGACCCGAUCUUUCACGGUAUUUGCAAGACAAUAAUGAACGACAGCAGCAACAGUAGCAGAAAAACGAACAAACGUAGAAGGAGAAUCUUCGGAUCAAACGAGAUGUAAGAAGCCAAAGAAAAAUACUUGCACCAGAACUAAUACAAGAUCAGGCGCAUGUACAGCAGCAUCGAAUCCCUAGGAUUCGCAGAAACUCAUCUUGGUGCCUCCCGAUGUAGGCGUUUUCUGGUAUUUUCUUAUUCAACUAAACUUCGGCCAAAUAAACUCCCCAAUAAUCUGAACAUACAAUAUUAGAAGCUGAUGAUGGCGCAGAACCUAGCAACCCUCUGCCAUUUUUCCUUGCUAUUGACCUCAUGUCUGGGUUAAGCUUGAGACAGGGUUGGAUCCUUGACGUGAUCUGGUUCGAUACAUC
RNAcentral lists this ribosomal RNA (3913 nucleotides) under Triticum aestivum (bread wheat). Its description in RNAcentral is "partial small subunit ribosomal RNA". The record is from RNAcentral. Lineage: Eukaryota; Viridiplantae; Streptophyta; Magnoliopsida; Poales; Poaceae.